GGGUCGGCAAGGGCCCGCCAAGGAAGGAGCGACCGACCGAACCAGGCGCCCUCCGCAGACCUCAGCGCAGCGGCUGCGGGCGCGAGGGGAGGGGUCUCGAGCUCCCUCCGGCUGCCGGUCCCGCACCGGAGCUCGUGGGGUGGGGAGGUGUGCAGCCUGUGACAGACAGGGGCUUAGAGAUGCAAACAGACUCAGGGAGAGAAACAGAAGCUGGUUCUGUGACAGAAGCAGAUCUGUGCAGCACAGAUGCGGUGUGCGUGGGGAGGGGGUCGCUUGGGAGCGCAUUGCGGAGUGCUUGUGUGUGCAGAAUUUUCUCUGGGCUCAGGACUCAUUGUAUGUGGGUCGACACUUUCCUCCGUGACUGUGUUUUUGUUCUGAGCUGAGUUUUUUGAUUUGCUCUUAAAAAAAAUAAUAAUUUGGCAUCCAGAGACUGGCAGACUGCCUCAGGGCCUGGACUGCGGAUAUAUUGUGUUCUGCUUGAGGUUUGGGGAGGAGGGCAGGCGGUUGGAAGGGAGAGGGGGAGCUGUUUGUCACCCUUUGCUGUAGAGCUGAGAACACCUGACAAGCUUAAGGAAGUCGCUAGGCUGUGUGGACAAGAAGGAGCCAGUUCCCAGCGGGUUCACAAGCUCCAUGGGAGCUGAAAGCCUGGCCAUGGCUCUAAGGAGCACCUCACGCCCUCCCUGUAGCUGUUAUUGCAGUUUCAGGCAGAGAUCCAGGAGCUGCAGAGGAAGGGAGAGGCACAAUAACCUACAUGGACCCCAGGGAGACAUGUGUUCCUUUAAAAAUGUGAACAGAAGGAAAAACAGAAUGUGUGCAAGUGGGGGUCUGAGGAAAGACUGUUUUGAAAGAGGCUGUCAGGGAAUGGAAAGGGUUAAGUUUUUCAUCCUGAAGAACCUGCUUCCCAAAUCAGGCCUUCCUCCCAUCACUAGACCCUGAGCAGCAGCUGGUCCUAGAGACCCCCCUCGUACUGCGCUGCCACAAUCUCAUCCCAUUUCCAGCUCUGUAUUAACCACCAAGCUGCAGCGGAUGGGGCAAGACCUAAGCUCAUUAAUUUCCAGGUGGAGGAAAUGGAGGAGGGGCAGGUCCCUGCAGUAGAGGGAGGAGCAGAGAAAGGAGGCCAAGAGCUGGAUCCUUCUGCCCAGGAAGCCUGCUGCAUCCCUUCCCCCAGUAUGGCAGAGGCCUGGCUUUGCAAGGCCAAGGCCAUAAGGGAUGUUUAGGAGAUUAAUUUGAUUCCUGACACAGUAAUCAAGGCCUAAGAGUCUCCACUGAAGCUUACUGAGGACUUCUUUCCUCUCCAAAGCCUCAGUCUAGCCUGCUAAAUCAAUUAGUAUUCAGUGAUGCCUUGGAUCAGGGCCCCUCCCUGGCCUCAGUUCCCCCAAAUAUUUAUUGAGUACCUACUAUGUGCAGUCCUUGUGUAAUUUUUACCUCUUAGGCUCUUCAUUUGCCCUCCUAAGGCAGUGUUUAGAGUCAAGCAGAGGUUAAAUGUGUAGCACCCCACCUAGAUACUUCCAGAACCUUCUCUGGGUCUGCAGAAUGUGGCACAACCUGCUUGCCCCUGCAGAGAGAAAGCUGCAGUGCACAUCUUGCAGACUGCAGGUGCUGGGCUGCCUCUGGAGACCCAGAAGGCAAGCUUGGCUGCAGGACAGAAAGGGAAAACAGCUUCUGUCACCCCUGAACCGUAACAAGCCUUGUCUAUUUGCCAUUGCCUUCAAAAGAUACCUCCCCUGAAACUAGUAGCUUUCUGAGUUCUGGUGUCCCCUUCGCCCUUUCUGGACAGGUUUGGGAAGAAGAAAGCAGUCAGUGCUGGGCCUUGUUGGGGUGUAAAGCCCCUUGCUCUGCCCCCUCUGCUCACUGUGAAGGCUGCUGGAUGCUUCUUUUAGGCAUGGUUUAAGCCUCUGAUUACUAACCCCCUUGCCCCACAAAUGUCCACAUUGACAAGCCUCUUUUUGGUAAUUGCUUCCCCGUAAUUCCUUCAGAGGUUGCUGUACCCUUCACGGAUGUGCCCUCCGGUAAAAUCUCCGGAUGCCUUCCCACGUAAUGCCCCUUUCAGAUGCUUUAAGCUGAGAGCUUAAACCGCAGGUACCAUGGCUGACGCCUGCUAGGUUUCUGCUGUGGAUAAUCUAUGAUGGGAGGGGCAUAUUUUUUACUUCAUUACUUAUGUAAACUCUUGUUCCAGAAAGCUUUAAUGUGUGUGGGAGUGUUCUGGGUCUACUAGGUCUGUGUGCAAGGGUGUGGGCAUUUGCCUGUGUCCACUGGGUGGGUCUCAUUACAAAAUGUAUGUUUAUGUAGGGCUUUAAUGGUCGAAAAUGGCAAAGAGACCAAUGGACCACUUGGUCCUGUGUAUAAUUGCCAGGCUCCUUCUGUGCUCGAAUAAGGUGUCCAAGUGAAGGUCAGCCUUCUGUAUUUGGGGCCUAUUGAUGCCACCAGUAAUUUUACAAGAAACCUGGAUAUUUCUCCCCUUUGAGGGCAUUUAACUCUUUAACAUCUUCUCUCUUAUUACCUAUUUGAGCCCCUCUAGCUACAGUCUAUGGCUUAAAUGAAAGGGGAAUUAUAUGGUCAAGAAAAAGUAGGACAAGGUUGAGGCAGUUUGCUGACUGAAUAUGUGAAGAAGGCUCUGAUGGGCUCAUAUGCACCGCCGCCAUCACAGUCCUCAACGUGAUGCAAGCUUAUACGAUUUUUUGGAAACAGCCCAGAUCUCCGCUUAAGCGGAAAAGAGAUUGACCUUCUAACAGAGGCAAAGAAUGGAGUCUUUUGGGGGCAGCUGCAAAGCAUUCUCCCUAGGACAGAUGGAGCCUCCCUUUCCUCAUCUACUCUGUGGGUGGUUUCAGGGCCCAUGAGUCAACAUGAGGAGUUGUGCUGGUGGUAUGUGUGUUGGAGGCUGGGCUGGCUGAUUCACAGUGACGAGGAUGUCAAUAAUAACAAUAAUGAGAAUGAUGGUACCCAAUAAAGACUUUUUUCCCCAAA
Molecule: long non-coding RNA, 2964 nt
Organism: Piliocolobus tephrosceles (Ugandan red Colobus)
Lineage: Eukaryota; Metazoa; Chordata; Mammalia; Primates; Cercopithecidae
Exons: 3
Source: RefSeq, a predicted model, not a curated record